This 170-nucleotide non-coding RNA is filed under the name pig gut metagenome. The record is from RNAcentral.
GCCGGUGCUUAUCGGGACGGAGCUAAGAUGGAAGCAGGUGAGAAUCCUGCACGGUCCCGCCACUGUAAUGAAGGAGUUCUGCCCGAUAGUGCCACUGCGAUAGGUAAGGCGAAAGCCCGGCCACGUGGGAAGGCGGGCAGAGCGUUGAUAGCUGAGUCAGGAGACAUGCA